GUGCUCGCUUCGGCAGCACACACAGUAAAAUCAGAACGAUACAGAGAAGAUUAGCAUGGCCCCUGCGCAA
This 70-nucleotide small nuclear RNA is filed under the name Meriones unguiculatus (Mongolian gerbil). The record is from RNAcentral. Lineage: Eukaryota; Metazoa; Chordata; Mammalia; Rodentia; Muridae.